Molecule: ribosomal RNA, 478 nt
Filed under: Arthrobacter sp.
Lineage: Bacteria; Bacillati; Actinomycetota; Actinomycetes; Micrococcales; Micrococcaceae
Description: bacterial SSU rRNA
Rfam family: Bacterial small subunit ribosomal RNA
Source: RNAcentral
GUAGACGCUGGCGGCGUGCUUAACACAUGCAAGUCGAACGAUGAUCCGGUGCUUGCAUCGGGGAUUAGUGGCGAACGGGUGAGUAACACGUGAGUAACCUGCCCUUGACUCUGGGAUAAGCCUGGGAAACUGGGUCUAAUACCGGAUAUGACUGCUCCGCGCAUGCGGUGGUGGUGGAAAGCUUUUGCGGUUUUGGAUGGACUCGCGGCCUAUCAGCUUGUUGGUGGGGUAAUGGCCUACCAAGGCGACGACGGGUAGCCGGCCUGAGAGGGUGACCGGCCACACUGGGACUGAGACACGGCCCAGACUCCUACGGGAGGCAGCAGUGGGGAAUAUUGCACAAUGGGCGAAAGCCUGAUGCAGCGACGCCGCGUGAGGGAUGACGGCCUUCGGGUUGUAAACCUCUUUCAGUAGGGAAGAAGCGAAAGUGACGGUACCUGCAGAAGAAGCGCCGGCUAACUACGUGCCAGCACCGGGG